GAUCCUGGCUCAGGAUGAACGCUAGCUACAGGCUUAACACAUGCAAGUUGAGGGGCAGCAUGGUCUUAGCUUGCUAAGGCCGAUGGCGACCGGCGCACGGGUGAGUAACGCGUAUCCAACCUGCCUUACACUCUUGGACAGCCUUCUGAAAGGGAGAUUAAUACAAGAUGUUAUCAUGAGUAAGCAUUUUCGUCAUGUAUUAAAGGUUUAACCGGGUUCGGUUAAGGAAUGGGGAGUGCGUUCCU
This 245-nucleotide ribosomal RNA is filed under the name uncultured bacterium. RNAcentral describes it as "partial 16S ribosomal RNA". It matches the Rfam family "Bacterial small subunit ribosomal RNA", at positions 15 to 240 of the family's 1533-position model. The record is from RNAcentral.